RNAcentral lists this small nucleolar RNA (107 nucleotides) under Sorghum bicolor (sorghum). Its description in RNAcentral is "Plant small nucleolar RNA R71". It matches the Rfam family "Plant small nucleolar RNA R71". Rfam says of the family: R71 is a member of the C/D box family of snoRNAs containing the C (UGAUGA) and D (CUGA) box motifs. The record is from Rfam by way of RNAcentral. Lineage: Eukaryota; Viridiplantae; Streptophyta; Magnoliopsida; Poales; Poaceae.
AUUCCAUGAUGGGGACAAUCUAGGAUGUAGUCUUGGAAGCGCUCCCAUGCUUCUGGAACAAAUUCAUCAUUUUGUUGCUGAAAACUUGUAAUCUUCCCACGGAGAGC